CGCGUAGACGGUUUUGUAAGUCAGAUGUGAAAUCCCUGGGCUCAACCUGGGAACUGCAUUUGAUACUGCAUGGCUAGAGUAUGGAAGAGGGAAGUGGAAUUUCCGGUGUAGCGGUGAAAUGCGUAGAUAUCGGAAGGAACACCAGUGGCGAAAGCGACUUCCUGGUCCAAUACUGACGUUCAUGUGCGAAAGCGUGGGGAGCAAACAGGAUUAGAUACCCUGGUAGUCCACGCCAUAAACGAUGACAACUAGAUGUUGGGAGGGUCUGCCUCUCGGUGUCGCAGCUAACGCGUUAAGUUGUCCGCCUGGGGAGUACGGCCACAAGGUUGAA
Molecule: ribosomal RNA, 331 nt
Filed under: uncultured bacterium
Lineage: Bacteria
Description: bacterial SSU rRNA
Rfam family: Bacterial small subunit ribosomal RNA
Source: RNAcentral